This 460-nucleotide ribosomal RNA is filed under the name uncultured bacterium. RNAcentral describes it as "partial 16S ribosomal RNA". It matches the Rfam family "Bacterial small subunit ribosomal RNA", at positions 338 to 795 of the family's 1533-position model. The record is from RNAcentral.
CCUACGGGUGGCAGCAGUGAGGAAUAUUGGUCAAUGGGCGCGAGCCUGAACCAGCCAAGUAGCGUGAAGGAUGACUGCCCUACGGGCUGUAAACUUCUUUUAUAAAGGAAUAAAGUGAGGCACGUGUGCCUUUUUGUAUGUACUUUAUGAAUACGGAUCGGCUAACUCCGUGCCGGCAGCCGCGGUAAUACGGAGGAUCCGAGCGUUAUCCGGAUUUAUUGGGUGUAAAGGGGGAGUAGAUGGGUUGUUAAGUCAGUUGUGAAAGUUUGCGGCUCAACCGUAAAAUUGCAAUUGGUAUUGGGAGGCUUGAGUGCAGGUGGGGCAGGCGGAAUUCGUGGUGUAGCGGUGAAAUGCUUAGAUAUCACGAAGAACUCCGAUUGCGAAGGCAGCUUACUAAACUGCCACUGACAUUGAGGCUCGAAAGUGUGGGGAGCAAACAGGAUUAGAUACCCGAGUAGUC